This 396-nucleotide ribosomal RNA is filed under the name Triticum aestivum (bread wheat). RNAcentral describes it as "partial small subunit ribosomal RNA". Lineage: Eukaryota; Viridiplantae; Streptophyta; Magnoliopsida; Poales; Poaceae. The record is from RNAcentral.
AUGAGAUAUCGGUGCAAAAGAAGCAAGUGUGCGGAACAUGCUAGAGAUGGUGGGGUGAUCCCGGUUGCCGGGUUCCCACGGGUCGACGACAUGGCAAACGAGGAGGAACGUGCAGGGACAACUCGGACACGGUGCAAACACGGGCAUCUCAUGCAUAGCAAACAUUCAUUCUCGGAAGGUCAUCUCGGCGGUUAUACCUUCGAAGCGUGCGUUUUCGAAACGGGUCGAGUUCGUAGUGGAGGUAGUCGUUCUCGCGAUGUAGUGGAAGUAGUGGUACACAUCAACGGUAGUUGUACACGUUUCGAAGGUGAACUUGACGCAUUUGAGUCCCUUCGAGGUUGUCAUGGUACUUGGGGUCUUCGGACUUGCCGGUCUCGUUCUUGCGACGGUAGUUGA